CGGGGAUCGUGGCUUUGCCCUUGUACUGAUUCCAUUCCAUAAAUGGUUGAUUUUUGGAUGCCUAAAAUCUGUGGAGAUUUGGUUGGAACUAAAAAUUACUCUAAGGAAUAAUUCCUUUGCUCUUGAUGCUAUUAGCAGUAGUGGCUCUUUUGUUCCUUUGUUUGCUAGAAACCCCAACAAGGGAAGUCGCCCUCCCCCUCUGAACCUCCACCCACAGACCAAGAAUCCC
RNAcentral lists this long non-coding RNA (229 nucleotides) under Elaeis guineensis (African oil palm). RNAcentral describes it as "long non-coding RNA (EGUI_LNC006610)". The record is from RNAcentral. Lineage: Eukaryota; Viridiplantae; Streptophyta; Magnoliopsida; Arecales; Arecaceae.